UACGUAGGGGGCGAGCGUUGUCCGGAAUUAUUGGGCGUAAAGCGUGCGCAGGCGGUCUCUUAAGUCUGAUGUGAAAGCCCACGGCUCAACCGUGGAGGGUCAUUGGAAACUGGGGGACUUGAGGGCAGGAGAGGAGAGCGGAAUUCCACGUGUAGCGGUGAAAUGCGUAGAGAUGUGGAGGAACACCAGUGGCGAAGGCGGCUCUCUGGCCUGCACCUGACGCUGAGGCGCGAAAGCGUGGGGAGCAAAC
This 250-nucleotide ribosomal RNA is filed under the name uncultured Geobacillus sp. Its description in RNAcentral is "partial 16S ribosomal RNA". It matches the Rfam family "Bacterial small subunit ribosomal RNA", at positions 524 to 773 of the family's 1533-position model. The record is from RNAcentral. Lineage: Bacteria; Bacillati; Bacillota; Bacilli; Caryophanales; Anoxybacillaceae.